This 269-nucleotide long non-coding RNA is filed under the name Oryza brachyantha (malo sina). Its description in RNAcentral is "long non-coding RNA (OBRA_LNC000268)". The record is from RNAcentral. Lineage: Eukaryota; Viridiplantae; Streptophyta; Magnoliopsida; Poales; Poaceae.
AAACCAAAAGGAAAGCGAGCCAAAAAGCUGUAGGCCUGCCAUAACACAAGCCCAAAACACACGCUUCCCCGCGACCGCGACGCCAAAACAGGAAAACGAACAAAUCCCCCCUCGCCUCCGGCUCCUGUCCCCGUCUCCCAUCUCCGCUCCAGUCUUCCCCUCAUCUCCUCUCCCAUGUGGCUGCCCUGGGUCAAGACGCGCCCUUCCUCCCCCACCACCCCCUCGCCGUCCACCUCCACCGCGCUCGCCGCCGCCCCCGCCUCCCCUCG